GGUUGCAGUUCUUAGAGUACUUGAAUGAGCCUGAAAAUGAUGUUGCAACUGGCUUGCUGGCUUGCUUUUGUUUUCUACCAUGUAGAUUAUUGAUGAAAUGGGUUCUAAGUUAUGUGUUUGGUCAAAUGCCUAAAUGAAGUUUUAUUUUGGUCAUUUUAUUGUUGUGUUGCCUUUGUUUUCUGUUGGUUGCUCCACCUGCAGAAUUCUAUUUUCCUUAUUUUGCUUCCUUUGUUUGUUUUUUUUUCCUUGAUUUUUCCUAUUUUCAGUUCUAGCUGAGUUUUGUAGCUGCUAUGGUCUUCCAUUUUUAUGCAGGGUUGAUCACUUGAUCCAAUGGUUAGGUUGGUAAGAUGUUGCCACCGUGGUUCAAUUCUAUUUAACUUGGAUAUCUAUGCAUUUAUGGUUUCCUUGGUUUGCUUUUUUUUUUUUUCCCUUAAUUUUUCGAGUUUCCAAUUCCAGCUGAGUUGGCCACCUGCUAUGGUCUUCCAUUUUUUCGCAGUAUUGAGUCAAUGGUUAGGUUGGUAAGAUGUUGUCGCCGUGGUUCAAUUAUAUUUAAUAUGUAUGCAUUUAUGGUUAUUUUGUUUGGUCAUCAUAAAACCAAGUUAGCAUCAAUAAUGAAAUGUUGUUUCUGUUCUCUUAUGAUCUUAUUUGUGAACUUUUGGGGUUGUUGAUGUUGGCAUUUGAACAGGAUCAAGAAAAUUGGAAGAUAGGUAACAUGUGGUCAUGUACAUUGUUGGCUUGCUUUUGUUUUCUUCCAUGUAUAUUGUAUGUGUUUGGUCAAAUGCCUAAAUGAAGUUUUAUUUUGGCAAUUUUAUUGUUGUGUUACAUUUGUUUCCUGUUGGCUGCUCCACCUGCAGAAUUCUGUUUUCCUUAUUUUGCUUCGUCGGUUUGUUUUUUUCCUUAGUUUAACGUGUUUUCAGUUCCAGUUGAGUUUGCCAGCUGCUAUGGUCUUCCAUUUCUAUGCAGGGUUGACCCAAUGGUUAGGUUGGUAAGAUAUUGCCGCUGUGGUUCAAUUAAAUUCAAUUAUAUUCGAUCCAACGUAUAUAAUAAAAGAGAAUGCCAUAGAAAACCCUAAAAUGUCCAUGGUUGAGAGCUUGACAUGUGGCACUUUUGUUGGGUUUUUGGUGAUUUUACCCCUGUAGCUUUGUGGUUGUUUAUGUUGCCAUUUAAACAGGAUCAAGAAAAUCGGUAACAAAGUAUCAUGUGGUCAUGCCUGGUGGGGAAUCACAUUAUGAGCGAGCACUACACGUUACAAUUUAUUGCCGCAUUCCACAACGACAAGGACUAUAUAAAAAUACCAGCAUCCUAUCAUGAACAGUGGCCACCCCACUACCCGGACUUUGCCCGCUUUGACUAUAACGAGGCCUCAUACCAGAUAUGACUCAGACAGGAUCGAGGAAGAUUGUUCUUUGCUUAUGGCCUCAAACACCUGAGAAAACACUUAGGCAUCUACGAGUCAGUAACCAUCAACUUUAUGGCAUGUGAACACAGAUGGAUUUUUAACCUCCAUUUCACUCCUCCGCUGGAACAACAAGCAUGCGGCAGAUCCCUACUAGCAGCUAGAAUGCAUGUCUGGACUCUUGAACUCACACAGUCCUUGCUUGGUGAUCCUAAACCAUUGGUGCUUCCACCUCUUGCAACAAUACAUCUUCCUUCUUGUGGUUUUCAUAUGACGAUUUUAAGAAGGUUCGACCCUCCAUUGCAAUGGCCUGUCCUUCCAGUUGACCUUGGCUUUCAUGACAAGUGUGUUGCCCAACCAUGGUACCGGUUUCUCGCUGAAGGUGAUUUUGUGCAUGGAGACGAGCUUUCAUUCUACUAUAGGCCUUUUGACGAUAUUUGGGAAGUAGUUAUUAGGAAACAAAGAAAUUGGGGUGACAGUGAUAGUGACUGAAUUUUAAUUUCUGCUUUGUCAGUUUAUAAAACAUGUUUGGUUAAUUUUGAUGCUCAAUGCUACCUGAA
Long non-coding RNA from Glycine soja, 1956 nucleotides. RefSeq lists it as uncharacterized. The transcript has 4 exons. Lineage: Eukaryota; Viridiplantae; Streptophyta; Magnoliopsida; Fabales; Fabaceae. The record is from RefSeq and is a predicted model, not a curated record.